Molecule: small nuclear RNA, 107 nt
Filed under: Propithecus coquereli (Coquerel's sifaka)
Lineage: Eukaryota; Metazoa; Chordata; Mammalia; Primates; Indriidae
Source: RNAcentral
AUGCUCGCUUCGGCAGCACAUAUACUAAAAUUAGAACAAUACAGAGAAGAUUAGCACGGCCCCUGCGCAAGGAUGACACGCAAAUUCGUGAAGCGUUCCGUAUAUUA